UGAAUGACUCNCGACAAUGGAUAUCUCGGCUCUCGUGUUGAUGAAGAACGUAGCGAAAUGCGACAUUUGGUGUGAAUUGCAGAAUCCCGCGAAACCAUCUAGUCUUUGAAUGCAAGUUGCGCUCGAAGACCAUUGGGUUGAGGGCACGUAUGUNUGGGUGUCUUG
Molecule: ribosomal RNA, 165 nt
Filed under: Allium gypsaceum
Lineage: Eukaryota; Viridiplantae; Streptophyta; Magnoliopsida; Asparagales; Amaryllidaceae
Description: 5.8S ribosomal RNA
Rfam family: 5.8S ribosomal RNA
About the family: 5.8S ribosomal RNA (5.8S rRNA) is a component of the large subunit of the eukaryotic ribosome.
Source: RNAcentral